RNAcentral lists this RNase P RNA (365 nucleotides) under Digenea simplex. RNAcentral's name for it is "rnpB". The stretch from base 1 to 284 matches the Rfam family "Bacterial RNase P class A", at positions 43 to 321 of the family's 367-position model. From Rfam's summary of the family: Ribonuclease P (RNase P) is a ubiquitous endoribonuclease, found in archaea, bacteria and eukarya as well as chloroplasts and mitochondria. Its best characterised activity is the generation of mature 5'-ends of tRNAs by cleaving the 5'-leader elements of precursor-tRNAs. Cellular RNase Ps are ribonucleoproteins. Lineage: Eukaryota; Rhodophyta; Florideophyceae; Ceramiales; Rhodomelaceae. The record is from RNAcentral.
GAGGAAAGUCCGGGCUCUAUUUAUAAAAAUAUUGUUGUAUAAAUACAGUGUGGGAAACCAUAAGGAUAGUGCCACAGAAAGAUUCCACCUUAUAUGGGCAAGGGUGCAAUGGUUCGGUAAGAGCGUACCAGAAGUAUUUUUAAUAUAUUUGCUAGGUAAACCCCAUAUUAGAGCAAAGUAAUCAAUUACAUUAAAUAGUUCUUGUAAACUUUUUUAAUCCUGAAGAUCUGAUUGAUUCGUAUACUGCAUUAAAGUUAAAUUCAACUUGAGAUUAAUAAUUACCCUUUUUGUAUAAAUAAAUUUAGUUAAUAAAUAUAAUGUAAAUUUAUAUUUUUAUUAUCCAGAAAGAACAAAACCCGGCUUAU